RNAcentral lists this ribosomal RNA (468 nucleotides) under uncultured bacterium. Its description in RNAcentral is "partial 16S ribosomal RNA". It matches the Rfam family "Bacterial small subunit ribosomal RNA", at positions 28 to 507 of the family's 1533-position model. The record is from RNAcentral.
GACGAACGCUGGCGGCGCGCCUAACACAUGCAAGUCGAACGGAGCUGAGGGAAGCUUGCUUUUCUUAGCUUAGUGGCGAACGGGUGAGUAACGCGUGAGUAACCUGCCCUGGAGUGGGGGACAACAGUUGGAAACGACUGCUAAUACCGCAUAAGCCCACGAUCCGGCAUCGGCUUGAGGGAAAAGGAUUUAUUCGCUUCAGGAUGGACUCGCGUCCAAUUAGCUAGUUGGUGAGGUAACGGCCCACCAAGGCGACGAUUGGUAGCCGGACUGAGAGGGUGAACGGCCACAUUGGGACUGAGACACGGCCCAGACUCCUACGGGAGGCAGCAGUGGGGGAUAUUGCACAAUGGGGGAAACCCUGAUGCAGCGACGCCGCGUGGAGGAAGAAGGUUUUCGGAUUGUAAACUCCUGUCGUUAGGGACGAUAAUGACGGUACCUAACAAGAAAGCACCGGCUAACUACGUG